AUUCAUUCUUUGAUGAUGAUCUUACUCUUAUGGACAGAAUCACUCCGUACAAUUGCUAUACUAUCCACAGUUAUGUUGACGGGACAAAAAAUUAGCUCACAGUAAAAAAUUACUGUCUCCAACAAUUGUACUAAUUCUUUAAAACAGCUUAGUUCUUCAUACUCGACGUCCCUAUUGCUACUCACUUCGGGAAAUACCAUGCUUUCCUAUUUUUUACUGAAAACCCCAAAGAUAGGGACUUCAAAUUUAUCCUUGUUACUGGUAAGGAAGUUUUCCAUAGCGCUCAGGAAAGUAAAGGUAAUACUUAUUAAAUGGCAUCCUUCGCCUCUUGGCUUCUUCAAAUUGAAUAUUGAUGGCUGUGUGAAAGACACAAGUAAUGCACUGGCCUGAAAAAUAUUAAACCCUCUCUAAUUGCUCUCCUCUCUUCCAAAAAUAACUGACUAAAACCCUAAAACCUUUUUUUCAUGGCCACGGCGGCCGGCGGCCAGCCUCCACCGGUGGCUGGUCUGCCCUCAACCAUCCCAAAUAACAAUACCCCAAAACUAAACCAUAUCACAACCUUUCAACCACCAGAACAAGCGGAAAAUCUAGACCUUAAACCUAUUACAUAUUUGCAUGGAGAACCUACUAUUGUGUGGACAAAGAGAGAAUUUGAGGAACUAUCACGACGCCAAAAUUUGAAAUAUGCUAUUAUUGCGAAAUUCUCGUAUGGCCCGCCAGAUCUACAUGAAUUGAAGAGGAUUUUGCCGAUUCAAUUAGAGAUCAAAGGACGUUGUGACAUUGGUGUUGUGACAUUGGUUUUUUAGAGGAGAGACACAUCUUAUUACGACUAUCUUUGCUGGAGGAUUAUGCUGCACUUACAUCAAAGAUAUUCCAAAGAUUUUAUUAACCCGGUUGAGGAUAACGAAAUGGUCUACGAAAUUUAAACCCGAGGCAGACUCUACAUUAGCUCCAGUUUGGAUAAAUCUCCCCUAGCAUUAUUAUGAAUGGGCUGCCCUUUGUAGAAUUGUUAGCCCCAUUGGCAACCCUAUUAUCAUGGACAAAGCUACUCAGACCAAAACAAGGCCCAGUACCGCAAAACUAAAAGUAGAAAUAGAUCUUCUCAAACCUUUAAUUCAUGAAGUCUCUGUAGCUAUCAGGGUGAAAUGCAGAAAUUUGAUCAAAAGAUUGAAUAUGAGACUAUUCCCUUAUUCUGUAAUCAUUGUAAAAUCUAGGGACAUGUUCAAAUCAAAUCUAGACUUCUUCAUCCGGAAUUAAGGGUAGAAAACACUACUAAGAAUGACAUGUUACACAAUGGUCAAAGGAAAACUCAAGGUGGGCAUACAAAGUAGACAACAAGGAAAAAACAACAAUCACAUCCCCAGGAUACAUACUCAACAAGCAGUGGCGGAUCCAGAAUUUUCAUUCAGGGUGUUCGGAAAAAAGAAGAAGCUAAAUAUACACUGUAAUUUUUUGCCGGGGUGUUCAAAAGUUAAUAUAUGCACAUAAAUACAGAAAAUUUACCCUAUAUAUACACUGUAAUUUUUUGCCGAGGGUGUUCGGGUGAACACCCUCGGCUCUUGGUGCAUCCGCCCCUGUCAACAAGAUGCUCAAUUAAGAGUACUAAAAGCUCCUGAAACUAAGAUGAAUAAAGGGGCAGAGAAUACUAUCAAACACUCAAAAAAACUCAGCAACUUAUAAGCUAAGCCAAACGGGCUCCAUAUCAUAACAAGAUAUACACAAACAAGUCAUACAUCAACAGGACAUUGAUCUUAUCUUUUAAAAACUUGUCCUUAUGUUGCGUAUAAAAUUAGUUCUUGCAGUGAUAAAGGUCUAGAUGGUCUUCUCUUUUAGAGCUCCAGCACAUUGCUCAUGUCUUUGUAAUGCUCUGUUUCUUUGACGCUUGCAGCUUCUUUCAUGGAUGAUACCAGAUUUGCUGAAAUUGUGCUAUUGAAAAGCUGAUUCAUUCUCAUAUGGAAAGAAUUAAAUAUUUUGUGUUUAUGAAUCCAGGUUGUCAUAGGAGGGUUUCUCUGGACACAGUUGUCUGUAUAAUACUUAUGUAACAAUCAGUACCUAAUCCCAAGCUCAUAUAAUUUUUUUUUGAUAUGUUGUGCACUUGUAGCUAUAGGUACUUGGAAAUGUUGCUCCAACUUAAAUUUUGUACUUAUGUUAAUAUUGUAUGAUUAUAUAAUGAGAACAAUCGCUGUAAAAUGUA
This is a long non-coding RNA of Lycium barbarum (goji berry), 2194 nucleotides long. RefSeq lists it as uncharacterized. The record is from RefSeq and is a predicted model, not a curated record. NCBI's taxonomy places the organism in Eukaryota, Viridiplantae, Streptophyta, Magnoliopsida, Solanales, Solanaceae. The transcript is spliced from 2 exons.